AAAAGCCUCUAAGCUUCAGAUUGUAAGGAAUCGUACCCCAAACCGACACAGGUGGUCGGGUAGAGAAUACCAAGGCGCUUGAGAGAACUCGGGUGAAGGAACUAGGCAAAAUGGUACCGUAACUUCGGGAGAAGGUACGCUCUCGACGGUGAAGUCCCUCGCGGAUGGAGCUAUUGAGAGUCGCAGAUACCAGGUGGCUGCAACUGUUUAUUAAAAACACAGCACUGUGCAAAAUCGUAAGAUGACGUAUACGGUGUGACGCCUGCCCGGUGCCGGAAGGUUAAUUGAUGGGGUUAGACUUCGGUCGAAGCUCUUGAUCGAAGCCCCGGUAAACGGCGGCCGUAACUAUAACGGUCCUAAGGUAGCGAAAUUCCUUGUCGGGUAAGUUCCGACCUGCACGAAUGGCGUAAUGAUGGCCACGCUGUCUCCACCCGAGACUCAGUGAAAUUGAAAUCGCUGUGAAGAUGCAGUGUACCCGCGGCUAGACGGAAAGACCCCGUGAACCUUUACUACAGCUUGGCACUGAACAUUGACCCUACAUGUGUAGGAUAGGUGGGAGGCUUUGAAGCACGUACGCCAGUAUGUGUGGAGCCGUCCUUGAAAUACCACCCUUGUAGUGUUGAUGUUCUAACGUCGACCCCUAAUCGGGGUUGCGGACAUUGCCUGGUGGGUAGUUUGACUGGGGCGGUCUCCUCCCAAAGAGUAACGGAGGAGCACGAAGGUGGGCUAAUCACGGUUGGACAUCGUGAGGUUAGUGCAAUGGCAUAAGCCCGCUUGACUGCGAGAAUGACAAUUCGAGCAGGUGCGAAAGCAGGUCAUAGUGAUCCGGUGGUUCUGAAUGGAAGGGCCAUCGCUCAACGGAUAAAAGGUACUCCGGGGAUAACAGGCUGAUACCGCCCAAGAGUUCAUAUCGACGGCGGUGUUUGGCACCUCGAUGUCGGCUCAUCACAUCCUGGGGCUGAAGUCGGUCCCAAGGGUAUGGCUGUUCGCCAUUUAAAGUGGUACGCGAGCUGGGUUUAGAACGUCGUGAGACAGUUCGGUCCCUAUCUGCCGUGGGCGUUGGAAGAUUGAAGGGGGCUGCUCCUAGUACGAGAGGACCGGAGUGGACGAACCUCUGGUGUUCGGGUUGUGUCGCCAGACGCAUUGCCCGGUAGCUAAGUUCGGAAUCGAUAACCGCUGAAAGCAUCUAAGCGGGAAGCGAGCCCUGAGAUGAGUCUUCCCUGAUACUUUAAGUAUCCUAAAGGGUUGUCGGAGACUACGACGUUGAUAGGUCAGGUGUGUAAGUGCUGUGAGGCAUUGAGCUAACUGAUACUAAUUGCCCGUGAGGCUUAACCAUACAACACCCAAGGGGUUU
This 1354-nucleotide ribosomal RNA is filed under the name Vibrio parahaemolyticus. Its description in RNAcentral is "partial 23S ribosomal RNA". It matches the Rfam family "Bacterial large subunit ribosomal RNA", at positions 1613 to 2925 of the family's 2925-position model. Lineage: Bacteria; Pseudomonadati; Pseudomonadota; Gammaproteobacteria; Vibrionales; Vibrionaceae. The record is from RNAcentral.